CAGUAGCCACGGUAAUACGAAGGGUGCAAGCGUUACUCGGAAUUACUGGGCGUAAAGCGUGCGUAGGUGGUGGUUUAAGUCCGUUGUGAAAGCCCUGGGCUCAACCUGGGAAUUGCAGUGGAUACUGGAUCACUAGAGUGUGGUAGAGGAUAGUGGAAUUUCCGGUGUAGCAGUGAAAUGCGUAGAGAUCGGAAGGAACAUCUGUGGCGAAGGCGACUAUCUGGGCCAACACUGACACUGAGGCACGAAAGCGUGGGGAGCAAACAGGAUUAGAUACCCCGGUAGUCCCUGUCUCUUAUAC
RNAcentral lists this ribosomal RNA (301 nucleotides) under uncultured bacterium. Its description in RNAcentral is "partial 16S ribosomal RNA". It matches the Rfam family "Bacterial small subunit ribosomal RNA", at positions 509 to 807 of the family's 1533-position model. The record is from RNAcentral.